AUAUCCGUUACAAUGUUGAAGCUUCCCCCUUUAAGGAAGAUGACGAGAGCUCAGUUGAUAUUUAUGAUGGCUUGGACAGCGGUUUAACAGUUCCUGACAAUUCUGCUCCAAGUUCUACACCAACUGGAAACAGUUUAAACUUAUUUGAUG
This 150-nucleotide long non-coding RNA is filed under the name Apteryx owenii (little spotted kiwi). RNAcentral describes it as "lncRNA (ENSAOWG00000006748.1)". Lineage: Eukaryota; Metazoa; Chordata; Aves; Apterygiformes; Apterygidae. The record is from RNAcentral.